Gigantopelta aegis is the source of this 330-nucleotide long non-coding RNA. RefSeq lists it as uncharacterized. The record is from RefSeq and is a predicted model, not a curated record. Lineage: Eukaryota; Metazoa; Mollusca; Gastropoda; Neomphalida; Peltospiridae. The transcript has 3 exons.
GGUUAUUACCGUCCGGAAUAAAUACUAGUGAAGUAAAUAUAUUAAUGAACAUUACAGUCUAGUUUUCGACAAAUGAAAUUUCAGGUGUCAGCCGUUCGUGGAUCUAAGACAAGUGUUUAAUCCGGACUGGAAGCAGUUUGAAUCAGAUCACUUCACAGUGAAACACGGGAGACGAAGCUACUGUAAGAUAUUAGAGGCAUUCGCUAAACAGUUCGUUCAUGGACGGAGGUAGCUCCACUGAGUACAGCCAAGCUGACAGGCGGAAAAUUGAACGGCUAAAACAUGUAAGAGUGAACAUCUCGAAUUCUUUUACUUUAUUUGCGUGCCUAU